GAGGCCUUAGCUUAAUUAAAGUGUCUGAUUUGCGUUCAGUUGAUGUGUGUUAGUAUAUCACAGGUCUUG
Molecule: transfer RNA, 69 nt
Filed under: Sceloporus pyrocephalus
Lineage: Eukaryota; Metazoa; Chordata; Lepidosauria; Squamata; Phrynosomatidae
Description: tRNA-Ala
Rfam family: tRNA
About the family: Transfer RNA (tRNA) molecules are approximately 80 nucleotides in length. Their secondary structure includes four short double-helical elements and three loops (D, anti-codon, and T loops).
Source: RNAcentral